GCCUACGACCAUAUCACCCUGAAUGCGCCCGAUCUCGUCUGAUCUCGGAAGCUAAGCAUGGUCGAGCCUGGUUACUACUUGGAUGGGAGACUGCCUGGGAAUACCAGGUGUUGUAGGAU
This 119-nucleotide ribosomal RNA is filed under the name Petromyzon marinus (sea lamprey). Lineage: Eukaryota; Metazoa; Chordata; Hyperoartia; Petromyzontiformes; Petromyzontidae. The record is from RNAcentral.